UGGAGCAUGUGGUUAAUUCGAUGCAACGCGAAAACCUUACCACCUUUGACAUGUACGGAAUCCUUUAGAGAUAGAGGAGUGCUCGAAAGAGAGCCGUAACACAGGUGCUGCAUGGCUGUCGUCAGCUCGUGUCGUGAGAUGUUGGGUUAAGUCCCGCAACGAGCGCAACCCUUGUCAUUAGUUGCUACAUUCAGUUGGGCACUCUAAUGAGACUGCCGGUGACAAACCGGAGGAAGGUGGGGAUGACGUCAAGUCCUCAUGGCCCUUAUAGGUGGGGCUACACACGUCAUACAAUGGAUGGUACAAAGGGUCGCCAACCCGCGAGGGGGAGCCAAUCCCAUAAAGCCAUUCGUAGUCCGGAUCGCAGUCUGCAACUCGACUGCGUGAAGUCGGAAUCGCUAGUAAUCGUGGAUCAGAAUGUCACGGUGAAUACGUUCCCGGGUCUU
RNAcentral lists this ribosomal RNA (446 nucleotides) under uncultured Acidovorax sp. RNAcentral describes it as "bacterial SSU rRNA". It matches the Rfam family "Bacterial small subunit ribosomal RNA", at positions 933 to 1382 of the family's 1533-position model. The record is from RNAcentral. Lineage: Bacteria; Pseudomonadati; Pseudomonadota; Betaproteobacteria; Burkholderiales; Comamonadaceae.